Mesocricetus auratus (golden hamster) is the source of this 1413-nucleotide long non-coding RNA. RefSeq lists it as uncharacterized. NCBI's taxonomy places the organism in Eukaryota, Metazoa, Chordata, Mammalia, Rodentia, Cricetidae. The record is from RefSeq and is a predicted model, not a curated record. The transcript has 3 exons.
CAGGGAGUCGGCUCCUCACUCAAACCUAGGAGAGAAGGAUGGAAGCAGCUUCAAGGCUUCCUCCCUGCACGGGUAAGAAGAAAGGAUUUGUAGCAGAAAUACGUCAUAGCACAAGCAGAGACAAGAUAUUCUUGUAUGUUUGGGUCUCCAAGGAAAACACUCAAGAAUGGCAAGGAGAUAAAGAAGCCCAAAGAAAGGCGAGCUUUCCCUGCAUUUUUUCCAGCUGUGGUGAUUAUCCAAGGUGAACAAGACUUAGACCAGUCAAAGGUUUCAAGACAGCAUACAUUCACUCAACAAGACACAGCAGAGACAAAGGCAGAGUUCUGUCUGCUCAUGACUUCCACCUCAGCAUUCUUGAAUAGAGAUAGAGAAUGAUCCAGCUAAGAAACUAAGUGCCCAAACAAUGAGAAAACAGUGAGAAGAUCCAAGGGGGCUUUUUUGUGGGGGCAGCUUUGGAGUGAUCUGACUGUCAUGAAGGAAAAAUGAGCUGGGCAAACUGUGUGCUCUUCUUCUCUCUUCCAUCCCUUGGGGCUGAGGGAAUCUUUGCAGAAUAUUGCCUCUCUUAUUUAUGUUCUCAAAGAAUCCAUUUUUCAAUGUAAUUAUUAAUCAUUUAUUUUGUUUUAUUCUUUUUGCUAUUGAUUUAUACCUUUAUUUUUAUUGUUUGUCUCUCUUCCUGUAUCUUUAGUCUUUACUGUGGUUCUGCUGUCAAAUGAAAUGCUUUGCAUAUUUGUAUACAAAUGUCUUUUAUUGAUAAAUGAUUUACAGCCACAAAUCAUUCUAUAAGUGCUAUCUUAAUAUGUAAACAAUCUGAUAAGUAAUAUUUUCAGUUCUAAGUCUUGAAUGCUUUUGAUUUUUUCUUCGCGAGUCAGUUACUUAGUAUCAUCAAGAUGUUGAAAUUAAACCCAUUUUGUACCCAUGUUGUUUGAGGUUUGGGGCUGGGCUAACAGAUGCCAGUUUCAUUGCAAUAAUUCCUCAUGUUCUUUCCACAUAUUUAUUCUUAAAUAUUUCUUCUGUGAGGCUACUCUGAAGUAUUAAGAAACUGUGGAACAGUUCUGUUGCACAGAAAGAUAUAUUUAUCAAGAUGCUGCAACUUGGAGAGGAAAGGGUUUAUUAGGCUUAUACUUCCAGGUCACUGUUCAUCAUGGAGGGAUGUCAAGAAAGGAACUCAAGCAGGGGCUUGAAGCAGCAAAUCAUGGAGGAAAGUUGCUUUCCUGACUCACUUACUGACUUGUUCUCUGGUUUAUACUUAGCUAGAUUCAGCCCCAAGGUCACCUGCCCAGGAAUGGUACUAUCCACAGUGGGCUGAGCCGUCCUGCAUCAAUUAAUAAAAAAGACACUACAGUGAGUGGUCUGUGUCCAGAGAUCCAUAGACUCAACCAAGCAAAGAUUAAAAAUAUUUCAAUAAAACAUUCC